This is a non-coding RNA of Oryctolagus cuniculus (rabbit), 29056 nucleotides long. Lineage: Eukaryota; Metazoa; Chordata; Mammalia; Lagomorpha; Leporidae. The record is from RefSeq and is a predicted model, not a curated record.
GAUCUUGCACCUGCUGUUCACUCCCCAGAUGUCUGCAAUGGCUGGGACCAUAGGCCAGGUCAAAGUCAGGAGCCAAGACCAGGAGCUUCUUCCAGGUCUCCCACGUGGGUGCAGGGGCCCAGACACUUGUGCUUUUCCCAGACUGUUAGCAGGGAGUUGGAUAGGAAGUGGAGCAGCUGGCACCCCAACUAGUGCCCAUGUGGGAUGCCAGCAUCAAAGGUGGCAGCUUCCCCCACCACGCCACAAUGCCGGCCCUGGACUGGAGUUUUACAGACUGACGUGUCAGUCACUGAUCAGCAUGUCGAGUCUUACAUUUAUCAUAGUUAUUUAUGUACUUGCACGGAUUGCUGUCAUCCUAAUAAGUUUCAUCUGUCGCCUCACUUUAAUCAUUUGAGUUGCUAUCUAUAUAUUUUUCUUACCAAGAUAAGAUCUAUCCAUUAAUUUCUUUUCCUUGUCUUCUUAUUACUUUUGCAGUUUCUUUGGUUGGUUGAUUUCCUAAAGUUUUUGAGUUGGAUGCUCAGCACAUUGCUGUUUUCAGCUUUUACUCUUUUCUAGUAUAAGUAUAGAGACAUAGAUUUAAAAAUUGUAAUUUUUAGGUACAGUUAACCUUCUUUAACCAGGGGUUCUGGACCCAUGGAUUCAAACCAACUGUGGAUUCAAAGUACUUGAAAAAAACAUCUGAACCUGUACAGGCUUUUGUUCCUUGUCAUUAUUCCUUAACCAGUACAGUAUAACAACUAUUACAUAGCAUUUACACUGUAGUAGGUUUACAUGUAACCCACACAUACUCUCUUUUAAAGUCAUUUCCAGGUUACGCAUAAUACCUAAUACAAGGAGGACCCAUAGAUGUUGGUAUCCACAAGGGGGUCCUAAAAGCAUUCAUGCAUGGAUUCUGGUGGGACAAGUGUAAUUAUUCUGAAUUUUAUCCAUGUUGAUCCCUGUAUCAAAAGUUCAUUCUUUAUUGUUGAGCGGUAUCCCAUUGUAUAGAUAUAUGACAAUUUGCUUAUCCAUUUGAAUUAUUGCUAACUUGAGGUUAUUACAAAUAAAGCUGGUUUGAACUUUCAUGUCCAAGUUUUUGAAUGAAAAUCUGCUUUUAUUUCUCUUAAAUCUUGACACUAAGAAACAGCCGGUGGUCCCGCGGGGCAGGCGGGGUCGCCGGGGCUCGAGGGCUUGGGGUAGAUGCGCUCUCCGGUUCUCACAGCCACCCGGCUUUUACGUCCGCUGAGGAAGGGAGCCGGGCUUUUACGUCCGCUGAGGAAGGGAGCCGGGCGCCCCGCGUGGGCAGGGGGUCGCGGCGCUCGCCCCGCAGCCGCCCACGCAGCGCUGGGUGGGGACGCGUCCGGAGCCUGGCGCCCGCCCCCGCCCAGGGGUCGCCACGGCCUGCUGAACGCAGCCCCUGGACGCAGCCAGGCAUCCUCCCUGCCGAGCCGGUGCCCCCUCCCCGCCGCCCAGUGUCCCCGCUGUGCCUGCGGGAAGCCAUUCGCCCAGCACACAGAGAAGGGCGCGAUGGCAGCCGAGCUGCUCUGCUCCACACUGGCCGGGUUGGCGCAGCCGGACCGCGGCCCGAGGAGCUGGGGCGCCCGGGACGUGGCCGGGCGCGCGCCGUCGGCCUGCGCGAGGGUCUCCAGACUCGGCUGCUCCCGGCUACCUGCUGGGCUGCCGGCGGCUGUUGCACAAGCCCGUGGCGCUGCGGUGCGGGCUCACGGUCUGCGAGCGCUGCGUGGAGCCGGCCGCGGCGCGUCCCCGUGGUGCUGAGCGGCCAGGUGCCGGCUGCGCAGGCUGACGGGCCAGGCGCGGAAUCUGCAGCGCCGGCCGCAGCCCGAGGCCGCGCUGCGCAGGUGCGCCCCGGCCCUGGACCUGGCUCCUGAUGAUUGUUCAUUACUGCUACUGUAAGCAGAAUUACGCGUAACCAUGAAGAGCUAUGAGAACACUCUCCAGGAUGCCACACAGUUUGUCACAAUGAACCUCUCCUGACUGAGGUGCUUCAGUAAAUUAACUCCUCUAUGCUGACUUGCUGGAAACUUCCUGGAGAAAUCUAUGGCGAGGCUGAUUUCACAGUAACUUGCAAGGAGGUCAGCUUUUAGGCUUUCACGGAUAUUUGGUCAAUCAGCGAAGAAGAGACGGAUCCAGAGAAGGGAAGCGUCAAGGAGGGAGACAAGGAGCUGCCAUUUGGGACAAGUGCCCUUCUAAAGGACAGGAGAAGGAGCUAGCGGGCAAGAUCCGCGAGUCCAUGUAAACAUGGUACGCCUGGAGGAACUAGUGGCUGUUACCGCCACCACUUACAGGAGCUCAGAGGCAAUGGGUGUGCCUCCUGCAAACACAUUGUGACCAGGAUGCUUGAAUCUUGUUGAGAGAAGCCAUGUUCUAGGGUUGCUGAAGCAGAAGACAGACUUGGGGUCUCACAUGAUGUCACGGGGGCUCCCCUAGUACUCCUUGGCCACCUCCCUCUGAGGGACUCUGGGUUAUGUGAGGGAAAAACAAUUCCUUGCAUUCAGGAUGCAUUAGCAGCCAUGUGCAUGUCCUCACUGAUUCACAGCUGAUAGCAAGGGGUAGCUUUAAGGUGGGGGGACCUCACUCAUUUAUGGGCCUGGCUUAGAUCACCCCUACCGACCCUCCAGCCUCUCACAGCGCAGACCCCAUCUCCACUUCCUGAGCCUGUGGUUAGGCCAAGGCAGAGCUCCUGUGGGCUCAUCUGCCUCUCAACUUUCCUCUAACACGAAGCAGCUGGUGGGGACCGGGCUGGGGGCCCAAAGGAAGAAGUAGACCUUUGAGUCGCCGCACCUCCCACUGUUGCCUGAAGGGGGCGUGCUCAGUCCACUUUGUGCGCUCAAGGGCCCAGCUGCAAACCAUCAGGCUGCUUAGCAAAACUUGACAGCCACCUGCUGGUUGCUUAUCGAAUAGAGCCAGUUAAGCCCCUAGUCAGUGGCUGCACCAGGCCAUGGCCACGUGGGGUCGCUACACCCUCAGGAAUGAAGAGACAAUGGCGUCUCUUCUGCAAAGCUGCCCUGCGGGGAGCCAGCUCAAGCCCCUCCCUGCAGUCAGGAGGGCAGGGUCCUGUGGUCUUUGCUCCGGAAACGAGUCUUCGGAAAUGCCCGGGACUUCAGAUGUCAUAGAAUAUGGAAUUUAAAAAGGUAAGUUUCUUCGGUGCAAAAAUUUUUGAAAUCCAUGCAUAGGAGGAUUUUUUUUUUUUUUUUUUUGGACAGGCAGAGUGGACAGUGAGAGAGAAAGGUCUUCCUUUUUGCCAUUGAUUCACCCUCCAAUGGCCGCCGCGGCCGGUGCACCGCGCUGAUCCGAUGGCAGGAGCCAGGUGCUUCUCCUGGUCUCCCAUGGGGUGCAGGGCCCAAGCACUUGGGCCAUCCUCCACUGCACUCCCGGGCCACAGCAGAGAGCUGGCCUGGAAGAGGGGCAACCGGGACAGAAUCCGGCGCCCCGACUGGGACUAGAACCCGGUGUGCCGGUGCUGCAAGGCGGAGGAUUAGCCUAGUGAGCCGCGGCGCCGACCCGCAUAGGAGGAUCUUAAAAAACUUUGUGGAUCGUGGAGUCUCCUUGGACCCUCGAGGUCUGUGUCAGCCCAGAAGCAGAGGGAACAGGGCCUCUCAUGUUCCCUGGGCCAGCCCCAGAUGGAUAAAGUGGGCACACCUCUUGUGCACCACACCAGGUCUGUGAGUGUUGACCAUGGCCAGCCUUCAGGAGGGCUUCCUACUGGGACGUGUGUACCUGCCACAGUGGUGCAAAGUAGGCUCACAGACAGAACCAAGAGGUGGCGCAGAGGGGAGGGCACUUGUGCUGCACAGGGCACGCCUUGACGGCCCGGCCAUGACCCACGCCGUGGGCAGAUACCCCAGGUGCACUCCAUCUGCCAUUUUAUUCUAUCCUGCCAGGCAGAGACGGUAUGAAAACAGCGGUGUCAGGGCCGGCACUGUGGCAUAGCAGGUGAAGCGAUUGCUCUCUAAUGCCGGCAUUCCACAUGCGUGUCGCUUGAGUCCCGGCUGCUCCACUUCCCAUCCAGCUCCCUGCUAAUUCGUCUGGGAAGGCAGCAGAGGAUAGCCCAAGUACAUGGGCCCCUACCACCCUCGGAGACCUGGAUGAAGCUCCUGGCUUCAGCCUGGCCCAGCCCUGGCUGUUGCAGCUGUUGGGGAGUGAGUCAGUAGAUGGAAGAUCUCUGUGUCUCCCCCACUCUCUCUGUAACUCUUACUUGGAAAUGAGAAUCUUUAGAAAAAAAAUCAAUAAGGCAAUCAGCUCUGAUGUGGUUCCCCUCUCCACACCACCACAGCUGUGACCUGCUAACACAGGGACAGGCAUCCAGCCUUGGGCAUAGCCAAGGAGCCAGGAACAAACUCCCAUCCACGCACGCUGGGUCCUUUCAAGAUGCUCUGUCCAUCCCAAUUCAAGUUGUGCUGCCUUUUUUUUUUUUUUUAAAGAUUUGUUUAUUUAUUUGAAAGGCAGAGUUACAGAGAGGCAGAGAGAGAGAGACAGAGAGAGAGAGAUCUUCCAUCUGCUGGUUCACUCCCCAGUUGGCCACAACAGCCAGAGCUGAGCCUAUCCAGAGCCAGGGGCUUCUUCCUGGUCUCCUUUGUGGGUGCAGGGGCCCAAGGACUUGGGCCAUCUUCUACUGCUUUCCCAGGCCAUGGCAGAGAGCUGGAUUGGGAGUGGAGCAGCCGGGAAUCGAACCAGAGGCCAUAUGGGAUGCCGGCACUGCAGGUGGCGGCUUUACCUGCUAAGCUACAGCAUGGUCCCCAUGUUGUGCGUCUGAUGUCCAUAUUUUGUCCCGUGCUCUUGGAAGUGGAGCACAGCACCACCCCGAGUUAGGUGGUUGACUUUUCAUUUCAUUGGGGCAGCUGACGAAAUGACCCAUGAUCCACUCCAAAGCAGAGUCCUUGUGUGCACAUCACAGGGAAGUGCGGCUGUGUAUGCCCAGCGCGCUCUGGUUUAUAGGAGUCUGGCCAGAUACCCCCUUCAAGAUGGCUGGGUGUGCGCAGGUGCAGGUGGGAGUGACCAAGCCUUGCCCGUCGCAGGUGUUCAGGGCGCCUGAGCCCAAUCACAGCUUCCACGGGAAGUGUUCCCAGCACAGCUACUCAAUGCUGCAGCAGCUUGUGCAAACCAUGAAUGAAGUGAAAAUACGUCCCAGGGCUGCCAAGUGUCCUUGCAACUUUCCCAGAUGCCGGGGUGCUUAGUGCAGAGUAAAUGGGAAAACAUUAACUUAGUUAUAUUUAAUAAAUAUAAAGUAUAGUGUAUGUAUCACACCAAUAGAUACUAUAUAUAAAAUCAUACAGCAUUUGAUACUCUAUAUCAUAGUAUGUUAUGUAAUAUAUAAGACAACAUAUGUGUUUUGUGUCUGUACACCUGGAGGCACUUCAAGAAGUUCUUGGGGCCGGCGCCGUGGCUCAAUAGGCUAAUCCUCCACCUUGCGGCGCCGGCACACCGGGUUCUAGUCCCGGUUGGGGCGCCGGAUUCUGUCCCGGUCGCCCCUCUUCCAGGCCAGCUCUCUGCUAUGGCCAGGGAGUGCAGUGGAGGAUGGCCCAGGUGCUUGGGCCCUGCACCCCAUGGGAGACCAGGAAAAGCACCUGGCUCCUGGCUCCUGCCAGGAUCAGCGCGGUGCGCCGGCUGCAGCGGCGGCCAUUGGAGGGUGAACCAACGGCAAAAGGAAGACCUUUCUCUCUGUCUCUCUCUCACUGUCCACUCUGCCUGUCAAAAAAAAAAAAAAAAAAAAAAAAAAAAAAGAAGUUCUUGGGAAAAUGAAGUGAAAGAUUAGUUUAUUCUGGUACAGAUUUUGAAAUCCAUGCAGUUUUUAAUAGCAUGUGUUUUCCACAAACUCUUUGAAAACCCAUUGUCUGUAUGCUUUCCUAAGGAGAGAUUUGUUUACUCGUUUUAGGCAAGUCUUGGGAAGUUUUGGGACUGAUGAUAUCAUUUCUCUCCCGAAGUAUGGCUGACCCUCGUGGUCGCUUUUUUAACACCCUUACUUGGUGAAAUAAAGAUCUAGCAACCCCUCUAGUCCCGGUUGGGGCGCCGGAUUCUGUCCCGGUUGCCCCUCUUCCAGGCCAGCUCUCUGCUAUGGCCAGGGAGUGCAGUGGAGGAUGGCCCAGGUGCUUGGGCCCUGCACCCCAUGGGAGACCAGGAAAAGCACCUGGAUCCUGGCUCCUGCCAUCGGAUCAGCGCGGUGCGCCGGCUGCAGCGGCGGCCAUUGGAGGGUGAACCAACGGCAAAGGAAGACCUUUCUCUCUCUGUCUCUCUCUCUCACUGUCCACUCUGCCUGUCAAAAAAAAAAAAAAAAAAAAAAAGAUCUAGCAACCCCAUGACUGCCUCCCCAAGUCUUCCCGAAACUUGGCCACUUUGUGAAAUCCUCAACCUGGGGGGCCUUGGGGGUGGGGGUGGCUCCUUCUUCCAGCCCCGCCCUCCAUUUCUCCCCUGACGGUGCCACACACCUGCACCCUUUGGCGUUAACACCCUCUGCGGCACCAGUGUGUGACUGCCCCUCAGCCUCAGCCCCAGUGGUGGGCACGCCCUGUGCAAACAGGAUGAACCCUGAGCAAAGAGACGGAGGUCUCCCGCCCCCAUACCCUGUUUACAGUUGGUGCUCAAUACAUACACAGCGGACCCAAGGCCACUGAUGUAGGCAAGGCCGCCAUGGCCGUGGUCCCUGCUUUGGUUUUUCUGGCGGUCGGUGACUGUUCUCAGCUUUGGCUCCCUGUGCUGCUGCGCACAUCACCUGAAGCGCUCCGCCUGAGAGCUCGGAUUAGAGAGCGAGGAGCUGAGCUGGACUCCGCCUUCCUGGGUCAGCACGGGGCUGGGAAGCCCCCCGACACGGGCGGGGCUGCUGGCCUCCUGCGUGUCUGACCCACGCGUGUGUGGGUAGACCCCGAGAAGUACAUUUUGUCCCCGGUUCUGCAGUCUGGUCAGCCGCUCGCUUCCAAAGGUCCUAAAUCCCAAAGCCAAAAUGCAAUGAAAGAAAAAUAAGCCGCAAAGGCACGGGCGUGAUGCAGGGCUUAAUCCGGAGCCUUGGGUAAGCCCUGUUUACCUCUCAUUCUUUUCCUGUUCUGAUUUCUCCUGGCUGCUCUGGUCACGGCCCUAACCACACUACAAGGCUACCAACGCUGGCCCCGUGUACCAGGGACAGCCCUGAGCCCGAUGCCUGUGCUCCCCGGGGUGGGGGGUUGCUGUUGCUGCCACAGCCCUCCUGGGGGGAAGAGGACACGGCAUGCAGAGGCCAAAUGGCCCACGGAGGGAUGCAGAGCAAGCUGUGCUGCCCCUAGGGAUUGGGGGCCUGCAGAUUCGUCCCCUCCACGCCCAUCCCUGCAAGGAGCGACGUGUCAGCCUGACCGGGGCCCAGAUGUUUAGCCAGCUGUUAUUCUGGGUGUGUCUGUGAGGGUAUUUCUGGAUGCUUAACACAGAAAGCGCUAGAUUGCAUCAAGCACGUUGUCCUUGCAGUGGGUCCUGUCCAAUCAAUUGGCUGCCGUGAUGCAUUGUGGGAAAGGGGUGGCGUUCCUAGAGGUUGGCAGGGCCUGGAGCGUGAGAAUUCGCUUCUGUAGACUCAGCUGCCUCGGAUGGGUCUGGGGGCCACGCACAGGAACGGGGCGGAGCCUGGCAGGGCCCCACGGCAAAAGUAGGUGCUGAAUCCUAGCAGAAGCAAGCAACUUCGCGUUCCAGAGAGUGCCCAGAGCUGGAAGGCCCAGGGGAAAGUGGGAGAGGCCGGGAGAGUUGGCUCACAGGGAGGUUGGGAGGGUGAUGGCCACGGGGUCCCGGGGCCCCUGCACAGCCGGGCACACACCUGUGUCUCUGGGGCGACGGGCCUGGAGGAGGAGGGCAGGCGCUUGUGCACCGCGCCUCGUGCGCACACGCACGCACGCACCACACGCACUCCGCCUUGGGCCAGGACUCAGCGCGCACCUGGGGUGGGCGGGGCUGUGGGAGCCAUUCACCUGGGCUGGGCGGAUGCUUACAGCAGUGCCUUUCUCAGCUCUGUGGUGGUUAAAUUCAUGCAGCACCGCGCCUCUUACCGCCGGCUCCCAGGGCAGCAGCUGCCACCAGCGCUGGGAUAUCCAUGUACCGAGGCAGUGCGUUCGGUUUGGUGGUUACUUUGGGUGUUUUUGUUUGUUUUAAAACCUUGAUUCCUUAAUACAUACAAGAGUAAUUUUAAAAGUUCAUGGAAGAAUCAACUUAUCUUUUAACCUCAUUUUCCAUGAAUUUUUUGUUAAUAUUUUAAUUAUUUGAGAGGCAGAGUUAUAGAGAGAGAGACAGAGACAGAGGUCUUCCAACCUCUGGUUCACUCCCCAGGUGGCCGCAAUGGACGGAGCUGAGCCGAUCUCCAGCCAGAAGCCCGGAGCCUCCUCUGGGUCUCCCGUGUGGGUUCAGGGGCUCAUGCACUUGGGCUGUCUUCCAGUGCUUUCCCAGGCCAUAAGCAGAGAGAGCUGGAUGAGAAGAGCAGCAGCCGGCACCCAUAUGGGAUGCUGGUGCCACAGGCAGAGGCUUUGCCCACUACGGCACAGCACUGGCCUCUCCAUGAACUUUUUAAAGUACCCUCAGAGAGAGGAGCAUUCUCAACACUUGAGCAAUGUUAGCCACACAUGCUAGUCCCAUUAUUAGUGCUGGUAGCCCUAUUGCUAAAAGUCAAAAAAAUACAGGUGAAGGUAAUUCUAGCAAUAGAUUUUAUUUAACAUCUAAGAUGAUAGAUAUUUCAACAUGUAAGCCUUAUAACCGUUAUUAUUAAGCUACCUGAUUUUUUUUUUUUUUUUUUUGGACAGGCAGAGUGGACAGUGAGAGAUAGAGAGAGAGAAAGGUCUUCCUUUUGCCAUUGGUUCACCCUCCAAUGGCUGCUGCGGCCGCCGCGCUGCGGCCAGUGCACCGCGCUGAUCCGAUGGCAGGAGCCAGGUACUUCUCCUGGUCUCCCAUGCGGGUGCAGGGCCCAAGCACUUGGGCCAUCCUCCACUGCACUCCCUGGCCACAGCAGAGAGCUGGCCUGGAAGAGGGGCAACCGGGACAGAAUCCUGUGCCCCGACCGGGACUAGAACCCAGUGUGCCGGCGCCACAAAGCGGAGGAUUAGCCUAGUGAGCCACGGCGCCAGCCCUGAUUUGUUUUAAUCUUCGGAAUCUGGAUUUUAAAGUUAACACCCAUUUCACUUCAAACUCUCCACAUAUCACUGGAACCUAGAUCCAGCUGGUUGGCAGUGCAGUGGUCAAUUUGGGGUUUUGUUUGCUUAUGUUUUUAGGUGUAUUUAUUUUUAUGUAUUUGAAAUGCAAAGAGAGAGUCUUCCAUCUGCUGGUUCAGUUUCUAAAUGGCUGCAUCAGCCAGGGCUGGGUCAGUCCAAAUCCAGCAGCCAGGCGCUGCAUCCAGGUUUCCCACGUAGGUAGCAGGAGCCCAACUACUUGAGCCAUCAUCUGCUGCCUGGCAGGGUGUGCAUCAGCCUGAAACUGGAAUCCGGAGCAGAGUUGAGACUGGAUUCCAGGCACUGGCAUGUGGCCUGUGGGAACCCCUAGUGGCGGCUUAACCCACUGCACCCCAACAGCCACCCUUUAUUUUUGCUUUUUAGUAAGACCUUUUCCCAGCCAGCAGGCACGUGCCCAUUGGCACUAAAUGUUAAUAACACGCUGAUGUCUUCCCCACGGAAGAAAUUCUCCCUUGGAAAAGCACAAAACCUGGCCGGCGCCGCGGCUCACUAGGUUAAUCCUUGCCUGCGGUGCCGGCACACCGGGUUCUAGUCCCAGUCCAGAUUCUGUCCCGGCUGCUCCUCUUCCAGUCCAGCUCUCUGCUGUGGCCCAGGAGUGCAGUGGAGGAUGGCCCAAGUGCUUGGGCCCUGCACCCGCAUGGGAGACCAGGAGGAGGCACCUGGCUCCCGGCUUCGGAUCCGCAUGGUGCACCAGCCGCAGCAGCAGCCAUUUGGGGGGUGAACCAGUGGAAGGAAGACCUUUUUCUCUGUCUCUCUCUCUCUAACUCUGCCUGUCAAAAAAAAAAGCACAAAACCCAAAUGCCAGCCUUCCAAAGGUGAGGAGGAAAGCUGAGGGAAGGGCUUUCCUGUGUUUAGCCCACAAUCAAAGGCUCUGUGUAGCUGCCACCAGCCGUGAAAGGAGAGCCCCAGCUUAGGAAAGCGAGGAGUGGCGGAGGCUGGUCAGGUAUGGAGUCAGCACUCUGAGCCGCUCACGUGUCCCUUCCCACUUCUGGCUGCUUUGGCUCCAUUGUUCACCGUGUACCGUGUUUUCAUUUGGGUAAAGGAACAGUUCCCGAGGUGGGCACAGGCAGCAGCCGCGUGGUGGGCCGUCGGGAGUCAGGGCCUGCAGGCUGGAGCCGCGUGUUCCUCCCAAGCCACGGGCAGUGUCCAGCUCGGUCACAAACCCCAGCGCACCUGCAGAAACCCAACAGGGGACCGAGAAAGCACAGCAUGCAAUGGAGCAAACUCUGCCGUGCUCACGCACAGAGGCCAGGCUGUGCCAGAGAGAGCGAGGAGGGUUCCAGAAGACGGCAAUCUUGGGUGACAGGUGCAGUCCCAAGGGCAGUGUCGGCCCAGGGCUGGACAGACAGUAGCUGGGCAGGCGUCCUGGCCACAGUGUCUUCUGGCAGCCCCUGUGCUGGUUCUCAUUGUUGGUAUGCUGGCGUGGGACGCCCUGCUGGUUGUCUCCAGACUCGAGGUGGUGUUUUAGUUGGCUGAUUAGGGUUUGACACAAGUGCCUCUAUUUGGAUUCUGACGACUCCCGGAGCAGCAGCACCUGUCCAUUCUUCUAGCAGUGGAAGUUGACCACAUGGCCCUGCAAGGGCUCAUAUUGUACGGGGCCCAGGGCCUGCCUCGUGCCCUUGGUCCAGCCUCCUCCAACUGGGCUGCAGUGUCUGUUUAGUGACCUGCCCUGGCUCGCACUUCCUCCAUCUUGCACCCUGCUUCGCCAGGAGGCGGUGUGGAAAGGGGAGAUGGCGUGCGCCCCUGGAGGCGGAGAGCAGAGGCCAGCUGUGGAAGGAAGGAGGGCCCCCCCCCCCCGCCCAGCACGAUGGAGCACGCAGGAUGCUGCCCUGUGUGUCCACGCCUGUGCUCAGCCCUGGAUCCCUCUGCCUCGCCCUGUUCUUCUCUGUGUCUUCCUCCUUCACCCCUGGGAACCUAUUCCCCAAGCCUGGCUUUAGAGGUGCGUGUAGGCUCCCAGGUACUCAGCCUCCUUUUCUGACCCCCAAAAUGCAUACUGGGACUUCAAGAAGUUCAUGGGAAGGAAGAAUGCGAAGGUCAGCUUACGUGGGCACAACAGGGACGUGGAGAUGCCUGGGAGGCUGGCCGGGACGUACGCUUCCCAGGGGCUUUUGAAGACCCCUCGUGCAGAGGGCUCUGCUGCCUGCAGACACUGCGUUACUAACACCUGUGGGGAGAGGCCGGGUCGCAGGGAGCACAGCUGGGGCCUAUUUGCAAAGCUUCCAGAAUCUGGCAAGUUCUCCUGGUUCCUAAUUUCUAUCUGGGAAGACAGAUGGGAAGUUGACGGGACCUAGGGACAGGUUUUUGGCUUUUUUAUUUAUUUAUUUUUUGAUACACAGAGUUAGACAGUGAGAGAGAGACAGAAAGAAAGGUCUUCCUUCCAUUGGUUCACCCCCCAAAUGGCCGCUAUGGCUGGCGCUGCGCCGAUCUGAAGCCAGGAGCCAGGUGCUUCCUCCUGGUCUCCCAUGCGGGUGCAGGGCCAAGUACUUGGGCCAUCCUCUACUGCACUCCCUGGCCACAGCAGAGAGCUGGCCUGGAAGAGGGGCAACCGGGACAGAAUCCGGCACCCUAACCAGGACUAGAACCCCGGGGUGCCGGCGCUACAGGCGGAGGAUUAGCCUAGUGAGCCAUGGUGCCGGCAGGGAUAGGUUUUUGAAAAUACUGUCUCAUAGUACAGGAAAGUACAGAAGUGGUAACUCACUGGCCCUACCAUCAACCCUGCCAAACCCUAACAUGUUUCCAUGUUUGAUUCAUUUUUUAAAAUUUUACAGGUAGAGUCAUAGACAGUGAGAGAGAAAGAGACAGAGAAAAGGUCUUCCUUCUGUUGGUUCACCCCCCAAAUGGCCGCUAUGGCCGACGCUGUGCCCAUCUGAAGCCAGGAGCCAGGUGCUUCCUCCUGGUCUCCCAUGCAGGUGCAGGGCCCAAGCACUUGGGCCAUCCUCCACUGCCUUCCUGGGCCACAGCAGAGAGCUGGACUGGAAGAGGGGCAACCAGGACUAGAACCUAGCACCCAUAUGGGAUGCUGGCGCCGCAGGUGGAGGAUUAACCAAGUGAGCCGCAGCACCGGCCCCAAUUCGUAUGUUUUAUAGAUUGAUUUUUUUUUAACACAAAGGGAAAGGAAUGAAGUUGCUAGUAUUAUCAUUAUCUUACUUGGAGGAGAGAGACAGAGGCAAAAAGAGGGAGAGGGAGAGAGAGAGAGAGCUCUCGUCUGGUUCACUUGAGCUGGUUUAGGCCAAAGCCGGGAGCUGGAAACUCAAUCUACAUCUUUUUUUUUUUUUUUUUUAAGAUUUAGUUAUUUAUAUGAAAGUCAGAGUUACACAGAGAGAGAAGGAGAGGCAGAGAGAGAGAAGUCUUCCACCCACUGGUUCACUCCCCAAUUGGCUGCAACGGCCAGAGCUGCGCUGAUCCGAAUGCAGGAGCCAGGAGCUUCUUCCAGAUCUCCCAUGUGGGUUCAGGGGCCCAUGCACUUGGGCCAUCCUCUACUGCUUUCCCAGGCCACAGCAGAGAGCAGAAUUGGAAGUGGAGCAGCCAGGACUUGAACCGGUGCCCAUAUGGGAUGCCGGCACUGCAGGCAGUGGCUUUACCGGCUACGUCACAGUGCCCACCCCUCAAUCUACAUCUUAUGUGUGGGAGGCAAGAACCCAGCUACUUGAACCAUCAUUGCUAUCUCCCAGGGUUUGCAUUAGCAGGAAGCUGGCAUCGGGAGCCAGGGCUGGGAAUCUGAUGUAGGACACGGGUAUCUUAAGCAGCAUCUUAACUGCUGGGCUAAAUGCCCACUCCACAUUUACUUUUAAGAAAUGAAAAAUUACAGGGAUACACACACACACACACACAGCAAUGGGCCCUCAGAACCGGCUUGCUGUAGUCUGGAAGGUUCCCCGUUCUGCGCAAGGUGUUGAGACCCCUGGAUGUGGGGCUCCUUAGAACGGAAGAUGUAAAAAGAUAUCACAGGCCGGCGCUGCGGCUCACUAGGCUAAUCCUCCGCCUUGCGGCGCUGGCACACCGGGUUCUAGUCCCAGUUGGGGCACAGGAUUCUGUCCCGGUUGCCCCUCUUCCAGGCCAGCUCUCUGCUGUGGCCAGGGAGUGCAGUGGAGGAUGGCCCAAGUGCUUGGGCCCUGCACCCACAUGGGAGACCAGGGGAAGUACCUGGCUCCUGCCAUCGGAUCAGCGCGGUGCGCCGGCCGCAGCAGCCAUUGGAGGGUGAACCAACGGCAAAGGAAGACCUUUCUCUCUGUCUCUCUCUCUCUCACUGUCCACUCUGCCUGUUAAAAAAAAAAAAAAAGGACAUCACAGCCACUCACUUUUAUUCUUAGACUUGGGUCCAUCCUUUGCACUCUUUGCUGCUCCUCAAUAAAACACAUGAGUGUAACCUUCACCAAGGUGCGCGCUCAUCCACAUCAGGCUCAGACAUACCCAGGUGUCCUGGUGUCCGGUAGGCAUCCUCCUCCUGCUAUUUCCGGCUGCUCCCAACUUUGUCCUUGCGUUGUGAGACUGCAUCUCGGCUUACAGACCCAUCCUCUUUCUGUGAACAUGUAGCUUCUCUUCAUUUCCUGUGCUAAACAAAGCUGCAGUCAUUAACAAUGUUGCCCAGCGCUGGGCCUGGGGAGACACUUCCUCUCAGUCAUUGAUCUGAUGUGCCUGCAGGGGGCGUGGUUGUGGUUUUAGUUUGCAUUCCUCUGCUUGCCCUGGGGGUCUUUCCAGAGGCCAUUGAUGGUUCUUUGUGCCCAUGGUGUGCAGAGGGUCUACCAAUCAUGUGCCUGUUCCCAGGGGAGCCCUUGAGUAAGAGGGAGAGGCUGAAAAACUGGCUGAAGGUGAAGCAAAGGUCCUGGGGAAGCAGGAGGUGGGACCAGGAAGACAGGAGAAGCACUCCUGGGUGGGAGAGGGGAUGCGGGAGGGGAGGGGAGCUUUCACCUGCUGAUUCACUCCCCAGAGGCCACAGCAGCCAGGACUGGGCCAGGCCAAAGCAAGGAGCAUCAUCCAGGUCUCCCACAUGGGGGCAAGGACUCAAGCACUUGGGCCAUCUGCUGCUGCUUUCCCAGGCCAUCAGUAGGGAGCUGGAUGGGAAAUGGAGCAGCCAGGACACGAACCGCUGUCCAUCAGUGAUGCCAGUGUUGCAGACAAUGAUUUAACCCACUCCGUGACAACACUGGGCCCACAGGUGUAAAAUUUUUUGCCAAAAUAAAACUUCUUUUAAUUCCAUUUUUCUGCGAUUUUUUGGAAGUGGUCCCCUGUGUCCCUGAGCCUGGCUCUAUGCUGCCUGUCUCCAAACAGGUGUGCUAAGGGAAGAAAAGCUCAGUGUAGACUUGUGAGGUCGAAGAAGGAGAGGCCCCGGAUGGGGACACGCAGAGGUGCUGCAGGAUGAAGGGUUAGGUCUUGGCCCAGACAGGGCAGUCAGUUCAGCCCAGGAUCGCUCUCGCCUUCUCUGCUUCCUAGCUCUCCCAGAACUGCAGGGAAGUGAGCCUGACCCUUCCCCACAGGGAGGAGGCCAGGGAGUUGGAGUUGCCCCUCAGACAUUCUUCUCCAAGUCACGUGACCACUGUUAUUGUCCAGACUGAGAAUUUGUUGCCAUGAAGCCGGGACAAGAGGUGUCAUCUGAGAUGGCCCCAGCAGUCACCCAGUCACCUUGUCACUGAGUGCCUGGGCAAACGGAGCGGAUGCAACCACAGUCUCACACGGCCUCUCCUGAGACAGUGUGUGCACGAGGGAUUUGGGGGUGUGGGGGUGGAGCUUGUUGGUAGAAGUGGUCCAAGCAAGCAGGACAUUGCUGGUGAGAAAAUCUUGAGAGACCCUGGGCUGAGGGCAGCAGGGGGAGCCGAUGGCACCUCGCCUGCCCAGACACAGUCCCUGCAUACCUGCAGUCUGUUUUUUUGUUUUUGUUUUUGUUUUUGUUUUUGUUUUUGACAGAGUUAGAGAGAGAGAGACAGAGAGAAAGGUCUUCCUUCCGUUGGUUCACUCCCCAAAUGGCUGCUAUGGCCGGUGCACUGCAUGGAUCCGAAGCCAGGAGCCAGGUGCUUCCUCCUGGUCUCCCAUGCAGGUGCAGGGCCCAAGGACUUGGGCCAUCUUCUACUGCACUCGCAGGCCACAGCAGAGAGCUGGACUGGAAGAGGAGCAACCGGGAGAAUCUAGCAACCCAACCGGGACUAGAACUUGGAGUACCAGCGCCGCAGGCAGAGGAUUAGCCUAGUGAGACACAGCUCCGGCCAACCUCUCGAUUUUGCAGUUAGCAAAAGGCCGAAAACAGAGGGCUGAGCAGAUCUAUGUGUGGGUGGCAGAGAAGGUUAUGCCCUUUGUAUAUUAUCAGGGAACUGCAAAGUGAGACAGUGAUGAGUUACACCUUUUAUCCCCAUGUGGCUAUCGGGAUGGCCAGCGUCAGAACACAGACACCACCAAGUGCUGGCGAGGGUAUGGAGCAACAGGCUCGCUCACUUGCUGCGGUGAGAAUAUAAGCUGUAAAGACCAGUUUGGUGGUUUCUGUUAAAGCUGGACCAACCCCUCCUGUCCAGUCUGGCACUUGCACUCCUUGAUAGUUAGCCAAAGGAACUGAAAAAACACGUCCACACAAAACCCUGCACGUAGGUGUUCAUAGCAGCUUUGUUCAAAAUUGCAAAAACUUGGAAGCAACCAAGGUGUUUUUAGUAGGUGAAUGGAUUAAUAAACUGUGGUACAUCCAGACAACGGAGUAGUAUUUGGUGCUAAGAAGAAAUGAGCUAUCAAGUAGUGAAAAGACACGGAGGAAUUGUCAAUGCAUAUUGCCAAGUGGAAGAAGCCAAUUGGAAGAGGAGAGUGCAUGAGUCCAGUGAUGGGACCUGCUGUGGAAAGGUAAAACUAGGGAGAUGUUAUGCAUCAGUGGUUGGCCAGUGCUAGGGGCAACCUGGGAGGAGGGGAAGGUUAGGGCAGUGGAACUUCUCUGAGAGGUACUGUAAUGGGCGAUGCAUUCAUUCAUGGCAUUAUUGAUUUGUCUGAACCCAUAGAAUGUCUACCAGCAUCCUAGUGCCUUUGGCGAGGAGAACGAGUUGGCAUAGGUCCAUCAGUUGCAAUGAAUGCACCGGUCUCGUGAGUAAUGUUGAUCAUGGCAGUGGGGUGUUCAGGGGCGGGAGAGAGUGAGAAAUCUCUGUACUUUCCCCUCGAGUUUGCUGGAACUUAAGUCUGUGCUGAAAACCAAAGUCUACUUAAAGUGUAUACAAAAAAAAAAGGUGGCCUCAGCCCUAAACUUUCCCUUGAGAAGGGACUUUCUCAUCGGUAAAAUGGAUACACACUUGGGGUCACUGUUUGAGUAAUGCAGACUAGAAAACCCAAAGACGACCAAAAUCACUAGAAUAACUCGGACAAAAAAUAGCCUGGGGUUGUUUUUCUUCUUUUUGCCAAGGGAGUCUUGGUGGGUUUGUGGUGUGUCCUGUGUCCUGAUGCACACCCACAACUCUCAGUUCCCCUUUCUCCUUCUCGCCAGGGGGCCACCUGCUCCAGGUGCCUGAGGAGUACCCUGGGGCCCGAAGCCCUCUCUCCUUGCUCUGUGUCUGCAUCAAGUCCCCUCCAAGGGGAUGAAAAAGAACCUUGUUGAGAAAGUUCUCUGUGUCCCCGAGGGGCACUCAUUCCAAGAUGCUAGGGCCGCUGGGCACGUGGGCAGCUGGAGGGGGAUGGAGAGGGGGAGUUUGCCCUCUGCACCCCAGGCUGUGUCUGCUAUGGGCUCAGUGCCGGCAGCCAUGAAGGACAGCAGGGCCAGAGGUUCACCGCCACUUUGCCUGCUGCUAAAGCCAAGGAGGGGCAAAGGCCAGCAGAGGGCAGAACCCUGCAGACACCUCAGUGAUGCCCAGGGCCCACCCUCCUGCUCAUUUCAGCCCCAUGGUCAAGGCCACAUGCUCUGGGUACCAAGCCCUGCCCAGGACCACGCUGUGGUGUGACUGACAGGCCACAGGAGUCUGGACUUCUCUCUGGGGCACCUGCAUCUGCUUACCUAGGCCAUCCCAUGAAUCUGCUUUGCCUCUGAAGGGAGAAUUGACUAGUGUUGGUGUGAGAUGAGAAAACAGCCAAGGAAGGUGGUGAGCUAACUCAGCGAUUUGCAAGCUUGAGGCGCUACUGCUGGUGAUGAUGAAAAAAGGAGAGAUUUGUCUGUUUUGUGCUGCACCCAGGCUUGCAGGAGGCAGAGAGAGACGAGGCUUGGCCUGGUGCCAAGCGUGGAGCCCCGGUCCCCAAGACUCUGUUCUCUUCAUGAGAGCUUAGAAUGGAGGCAUUGGCUGGCAGGCUCAAGGUAAGGUGAGAAAGAGAAGCAAUUCAUGGGUCUUGUGUCUAAGGCUGAGGAGGGACUGGAGCUGACCUCUUCCCACCCCAAACUCACAUACCCUCCUGUUCACACACACACACACACGCCUACACUCACAUUCAUUCACACAUCCUCACACACUCCAGUUCACACAUCACACACACAAACCAUUCACACCCUGAGAUACACAUCAAACCCACAGACACACUCCCUUUUACACAUUGACUCACAGACCGCAUACAUACUCCCACUCCCAAGCUCACACACCACCAUCGCCCGCUUCUGUUCACACACAGCGACUCACCUGCACAGUUACAUGGACACACACACAGGCACAUGCUCAGUCACACCUAUUCUCUCUCUCUCUCUCUCUCACACACACACACACAUACACACACCACAUACUUCAAAUUUCCUGGUUGCAGAAAAAAAAAAAAAAGUUACCUCAGUGUCUUGAUCUCAGGGGCCUUGGGCUGUAUCCCGAGUUGAUGCCUUGAGAGAGUCAAUUCUCUACCUCCUGUGCUCUCUGGCUAUGGAGAGAAGACUAAGCUGUGAGAAGAGUUGGUGCGUGAGUUGAAAUUCUGCUAAGACACUGACACUCCAGUCAGCACUGGUAGAAAGAGAGCUUGGAAGUUGCUUCAGAGUCGGCUGAAUGUGUGUGAAGAUGUGUGUGUGCGUUCUCUUAUCUGGUAAAUAAUUAUGAUACGCAGUGGUGUGCUGGAAGGGGAAGCCUCAUGGAGCCAUAUAUUCCAUGACGUGACAAAGCACCUGCCACACUGCGGCUGACACUCAGGGUACUCCUCAUGUGCAGUCAGGGCUAAGAGCGCCUGAGUUCCCAAACUUGGCUGCACAUUAGAAUGAAAAAAAUCCCCAUAGCCAACCAAGCACUUGACCAAGAGCUUGUCCUCGAAUGUUGUCCUCCAGCAGCAGGAGCCAGGCUUCCUUGCACAAAUGCUGGACUCUAGGACUGGAGCAGGACAGAUACGAGGUAAGCCUGGGGCACCCUGUAUUCCCAGAGAAGAAGGAUGUAUUCCACAAACUCAAGAUAGGGGCCAACUGAAAGAGCUCCCACUGGCCCGAACUGGGACAGUCUGAGCAAUGGCCAAAGUCCUGGCCUGGAACCCGGUGCAUAAAAUAAAUAUCCGUGUGUCCACACUGAUGUAAAUAAAUGAUUGGGUAAGCAAAUAAAUGGGAGAGACUCAUAAAAAUUUCCUCUAUAGAACUGUUAUGGUCUGAAUGUGUGUCUCCACAACUCAGAGGUUUAGUUUCCAAAUGCAGGGGGUAGGGAAGUACUGAUCUGCAGGCCCUAAAGUCUUGUGAAAUUAUUUGGUCUGGCAGCUACGGGUGGGGCUCAAAAUUCAAUAAGUCUGUAGCAGGCUAGUUUGUUUUUUAAAGAUUUAUUCUUUGUAAAGUGGAGUUAGUUAUUAAUUGACUCCAUCCUUUGGUUCACUGCCUAAACCAUCACAAUGGCUGAUGCUGGGCCAGGCUGAAGCCAGAAGCCUGGAAUAGCACCCUGGUCUCCUGCAUGGGUGGCAGGGGCCCAAGCCCUUGGGCCAUCGGCUGCUGCCUUCCCAGGUGCAUUAGCAGGGAGCUGGACUGGAAGCAAAGCAGCCGGGAUGCCAGCCUGUGCUCAUAUGGGAUGCCAGUAUAGCAGGCAGCAGCUUAGCCUGUUGGUACCACCAUGCUGGCCCCCGAAGGCUAAUUCUUAAGUCAAUAAUUUCCUAUGGCUCAUGAAUGAUGUUGUAAAUCUCCAAAGGGCCCUUGGCAGAAAAAAAGAUUCCCCACCCUGUGUUAAUGGUACUGAGACGGGAAGCUUCAUCCAAUUACGUGUUUAGAGAUGGGCCCUUUUGGGUCAUGAAUAGUUUGGAUUGGGUCAUUAGGUUGGAGCCCCAUGAUUGAAUCCUGUUGGCUCUGUUAGAGACCACACAAAUGAGGAAAAAAAAAAAAAAGCAGUCUCUGUGUCUUGUCACAUGGUGCUCUGUGCUGUCAGCAAGAAUGACAUCGCUAAACACCAAACCAAUGGGACCCACCCAGUCUUGGCCUGUGAACCUCCACAACCGUGAGCCUUGAACCUCUUUGUCUUAUAGUAGUAGACUGCUUCUGGUAGUUUGCUAUAGUAAUGAAAAGCUGACUAAUAGAGAAAACAUUUACGUAGACACUCCUCCCUCAAGGAGGUGGAUCACAACUCUCAUCCCUCAGGCAUGGGCUGUGUUUUGUGACUUUCAGAGGGUCUACUGCGAGAAGGGGAAGAAGGAGCCACUUGACAGUGGGGAAAACUGAGCAGCCAACCGCAGUCAGGUGAUCAAGGCCAGCAUCAGCAGUGAUGUCAAGCGAUAGACCUGCCCUUGGGAUAUCCCCUCCCCCAGUUCCAUAGCCUCAGGACAACCAUGAGAAAAACAUCAAUUUUUACCAACCGCAAAUGAAGGACAGUCUACAAAACACCUGCCCAGGACUCCUCAAAACCAAGGUCAUCAAAAACAAGGAACGUCUGAGAAACUGUUGCAGCCAAGAGGAGCCUCAGAAGCCAUGACGGGUAAAUGUCAUGUGGGAUCCCGGGACAGGCCAGGGCUACCAGGCGUGGGACAUCUGACUGAGGAGUGAGCCUUUGCCGGUGAUGACGCAUCAGUGUUGGUUCAGUAGUUGGGAAGAAGCGACCAUGGUGAUGUAAGAUGUAGCGCUGGGGUGAGGAGAAUGUGAACACCUGUGACUGUGUCGACUUUCCCAUACAGCUACAAAUAUUUUAAAACCAAAGGCUUAGGGCUGGCGCCAUGGUGUACUGGGUUAAUCCUCCGCCUGUGGUGCCAGCAUCCCAUAUGGGCGCUGGUUCUAGUCCCGGUUGCCCCUCUUCCAGGCCAGCUCUCUGCUGUGGCUCGGGAGGGCAGUGGAAGAUGGCCCAAGUGCUUGGGCCCUGCACCCCAUGGGAGACCAGGAGGAAGCACCUGGUUCCUGGCUUCGGAUUGGCGCAGCUCUGGCUGUUGUGGCCAUUUGGGGAGUGAGCCAACGGAGGGAGGACCUUACUCUCUCUCUCUCUCUCUCUCUCUCUCUCUCACUGUCUGUAAUUUUACCUGUCAAAUAAAUAAAUAAAAUCUUAAAAGGCUAAUUUUUUCAGAAUAUCAUAGUUCCCUGCCCACCCACGCCUGUGAUGUUAGAAUGGAAGAUGGGGUGGAAGCCGGGCACCAGGACUUUGUAAAGCUCCUGGACAACUCGGAUGGGCGGCCCCGGUGACUGCCUUCAGACCAGCUCAUGCCACUGUCACACGGCUCCGAAGUCCAGAGGCUCAGAACACAGGCUUCCCCGUUCCUCCAGCCACCCAGCUACUCCGGGUUUCAAGGGAGCACUGUCCGUCUAAGGGACUCAGGCUGGUAAGGCAGCGGCUGUCUCUGGUUGUUGCCACUCUGGGCAUGAGGACAAAGGUCUCCUAGCAGUAACCAGCCACCUGUUCCCAUCGCACGAGAGGCAGGGAGGGUUAGGAAGUGAAAUCCUCCCAUGCCCUCAGAACAUGGAGGACAACGAUGCUUGAUGGAUGGCUCUAAUGGCUGUGACGAUAAGUGGUGAGAACUCGGAAAUUUUCUGUUUAAACUCCUGUCACAGGGCAUUGAUGGAGACCCGGUUCUGUUGCGUGCCCAGGCACCACCUCACACCUGAGUGUUGGAAUACGGGGCUCUGUCUGGUUUCCUGUGCUCACCUCUGCUUUGGCUCUCCAUCUUGGGCCAUAGAACAAGAGUAGAGAUUGAGUCUCCCUCCCAGAGACUGAGGCCUGCAGGCUGUUCCAGUCUCGCCCAGCAGGUGGUGUUCUCUCUUCCUCUCUCUCUCACUCUGCCUUUAAAAUAAAUACAUUAAUUAAAUAACAUAAAAGGAGUCUUAAAACUCUUUAGGAACCAGGAGCUCAAAAUCGUGUUCUCCAAGCCACCCGUAAUUAGGCUGGGGACUUACAAGUCACAAUCUUUGUCUGGGACAGAGUGACAUCGUCAAAGGAAGAAUCAAGGGCAGUAGUAGAAUUUGAGUCGACAAGUGUGGGUUUCCCGUUUGUUCUAUGUUGACUUAGUUCAGAAAAAUAAACCUUCCCCCCUUGAGUUCUGAGCGUCUGUAAGUUACAAAGUUAUCUAGUGAGAUGAAAUGUGGAGAACAAAACUCGAACACAUUGACCUCUCUCUGUGUCCGUUUUGCUAUUGGGCCCUGGUGAGUGAAGGGCCCUGGUCCUGCUCACGCCUGUCCAGGGAUUGCGGUACAAGACCGGGGCCUCUCAGGCCUCCUUAGAGCAAAUGAAUGAAAUGUGGGGACCCGGGACAGGGCUUUGCCACCAGGCAUGUUCUGUCCUUCUGAGUGUUUAGUGCACCUCUGCCUCCAGGUGGCACUGUGGAGCUACAAGUGGAUCAGCCUGCCCACCCCCACCCGCCCCCAAGCAGGGGGAUCACUGUCUCCCCUAGAGCCCUGGGCUGAGCUUUCCAGAAGUGAGAGGGGACGAUGGGAGGCCCAGCCUCCUGCCUUCUCCAGGCUGGGACCUCAACCAAAGCUUGGUGGUUGGGUUUUUCUCUUCUUAAAGUAAUUUGCCAUUCACACUCUUUCUAGAAUGCUUGGAUGUGGUUCAGGCCGAGCCAGCGUUUGUUUUUUCUCCUUGCUCCAGGGGAGACGCAGUGACGGCUGCAGGGCUGUUCCCUUCUGAUUCCCUUCUGCUCCAUCCCACUCUUGCCACCAAGGCAGGCUCACCGGCUGUGGAGUCCGGGCACACAACCACGCCCCAUCAGCGCAUGGCCCCAGGGAAAAGUAGCUGCACUGGGAAGCUGCAGUGCUGCUGGGAGGAGGUUCUGAGUGGGAGAAGCCGGGGGACAACCUGUGUCUACUCGGAGCAGGUGGGACCCUGUUUCAGUCCACACCCAGUCAGGAAGUGACUUUAUCUGCAAAAGGCAGAGAAUCGACCUCACUGGGUUUUCGACAGCUCAACGGCAGGUUCAGAGCUCAUCAGGAUGGCUUAGGCUAUAGUGGGAGACGCUUCAUGGCAUCGCAAACAGAGGAAGGCACUUUCCGGAGAAUUCUGGCAGGGACUAAGCCUUCUCAACAGUUGUGCCAACACCUAUGUAGGACUGUACCCACGUGGGAGACCUGGAAGAAGCUCCUGGCUCCUGGCUUCGGAUCUGCGCAGCUCCAGCCGUUGCAGCCAUCUGGGGAGUGAACCAGCGGAUGGAAGACCUCUCUCUCUGCUGCUCUCUGUAACUCUGUCUUUCAAAUAAAAAAUCUUAAAAAAACAUUCCUAACGAUUGUUUUCACAAAGGUAUAAAACAAAGUUUUACAAAACUAUGUUUGCAGCAAUGUUGAUAGACACAUUUCUGGAUGCAGAUCCAGGCCAUGAAAGCACAAAUAAUCUGGGCCAACUCAGAAUAGAUACGGUCUCUUCUCCCCACACCGUGAGAGAUGUCCUCGUGUCUAGCAGCAUGAGAAAUUGAAAACGCAUGUCGAAGUCAUUUUUCUUUUUCUUUUUUUCUUUUUUUGACAGGCAGAGUUAGAGAGAGAUGGAGAGAAAGGUCUUCCUUCCGUUGGUUCACCCCCCAUAUGGCCGCUAUGGCCAGUGCUGCACCGAUCCAAAGCCAGGAGCCAGGUGCUUCUCCUGGUCUCCCAUGUGGGUGCAGGGCCCAAGCACUUGGGCCAUCCUCCACUGCACUCCGGGGCCACAGCAGAGAGCUGGACUGGAGGAGGAGCAACCGGGACAGAACUGGUGCCCCAACCGGGACUAGAACCCGGGGUGCCAGUGCCACAGGUGGUGGAUUAGCCUACUGAGCCGUGGUGCCAGCCGGAGUCAUUUUCUGUGACCUUGUGCUAGUUCUGUGUGGUUGUGCUUCUGUUGAUGGGGCAAAAACCUGACUUUUGUCUCCUAAAUGAGCAAGGAGCAGCUUUUCCUUCACAGUUGGGGACCACCAAGGCUCACUGGGUGCUGGCUCCUGGGGGCUCCCUGGAGAAUCUUGCAGAGUUGGUCUCGGGCCCCUCCACCUAGAAGGGGAUGCAGGGAUGCAUUGAUACCUCCCAGCCUGUGCUUCUGGAGGGGCUGACUCUCCUGUACUUCCAGGUGACGUACGUGAGAUGGUUCUAGCAGGCGUCUCACACUUCAGCAUCAGGGAGAGACGUCUUGAGGCAGCUGUGGGGGAAUCCGGGGUGUCUGUGUGGAGCUGGCUGCACCCUGCACAGCUUUGUUCCAUGACAGUGGUAGGAUAGGGAGUGAGGCACGGGCCGUGUGGAGAAUGCUGCAUGGUCAGACCGCAGCCUUAUGAGUAUAUGGUGGCCAGUGCACCCAGUAGACCUGGCUACAGACACCCUGAGCCCACUCUAGAUAAAUUGCACAUGGAAAAGUAAUGGCCAUCAGGCUCUUGCGAAGGAAGUCAACAGAAAGAACAAUCGCAUUGACUAAAGUAGUGUUUUAACAGUUCGUCUGGAAUACCGGAGCUUGAGGAAGGCAGGUGUCACUGGAGGAUUCAAAGGACGUAGUUACAGCCAUCACUGAGAUGGAAAGACAUUCCGGGAACAUCCCAGAGCUGCCGAAAGGGAGCAGAGCGGAGUGUCGUGUGGCCAUUGUCCUUAGUGCACGUACGUCACCAGCACCUCCGUUACAUGGUGCACCCCUACUUUCCGUGGUUGGUUGGCUCCCAAAUGGAAGGGAAAGAGGGUUAGGAAAUGAACUGAGAUUUUUCUUGCAGAAAAUUCCUACGAGUGGCAAGAGAACGAGAGGCAGCAAGAGAUGAGUGAGAACUCAGCUGGGAGUGUCCACGGUGGAAUCCACUAAUUCUGUAUACUUAUUUCCUGUAUUCUUAAAGACAAAGGGGCGGUGGGGAGGAGCACUGGGGACCGGAAGGGCAGCACGUGGAGCACGGAGGAUGCAGCCCUCAGUGCUUAGCACCAGGGGGCGCUGUGGACCCGGGAGAGCGCGGUUGCUGCGGGGAGGGCAAGCAGUCCAGCUGGGACCAGCGCAGUCACUGCUCACCGGGAUGAAAACUUGUGUCUUACAGCAACAGUGCAGGGCGCGUGAAUUCCAGCGGCCAGCUUGCACGUUUAGGGGUGCGAUGCUGAUCAUGUCCCUGCAGUGGAGGGAGCGCUUGGGUUCUUCUGCGGAGUCGGGACUGUCUCUCUGGGAGGGUUCCCGCUGGUCAGGGUUAGAGGAACCGCUCGGAGGCGAGCAGUAAUGGAAGCCGAUGCACACUCCUUAAGAUUUUCUAGCAUGCCACUGGAUCUCACAGGCGGAUUUAUGAAACUGCGGUAUGUAUUGCACACUACCCGUGUUUUAGUAAACCCGAUGAUAUUGCAAGUGAGAGGGAGAGAGGGAGAGAGAGAUGGCAGGAGUCUGAAGUGUAAGUUGGGGCUGAGCCCCCUGGGUCACCAGGAGUGGGACCCGGCCAUCUCAUAAGGGCCUGCAGCUUUGGCAGUGCCUUCACUCCUAUACCCACAGGGAGUCCCUCGCCUCUUCUGAUGCCAAGAAUGGUGCUGGCCCCUCUUCCCGCCUGAGCGGUGUUGAUAAUGGGCCAGAGACAGAGGCCCCCAAUCUUAUCAGAGGUGGAAGGCAGCCCAGCUCAUUAUGCAGUCUGCCACCCUCCCCUUCUCUCAGGAGCCACAUGGGCACGAAACGUGGUCUCCAGGCUCGCCCUGCCAGCUCCCAGCAAACCUGGCCUCCUGGGAAACCUGAGAAGGGUGGCUGCAAGCGGAGGCUGGGCCACGCCUCUGAUCUCCAGGAGCCUGCGAGCAGGGGGGCCGGCAGCUGGAGUAAUUCUACCCCUGCACAGCCCAGGUUGUGUUCUUUUUCCUGGACAAGAUUUAUAGGGUAGGGCUUAGUCUAACUGCAGACAGACAGUCCUGGGGGGCCCUGCUCGCCGGUGUUCCCAGCCGUUCCGUUCCCCGCGGAGCCGCUUCACAUGACUUGAUGGAUUGUGCUGGCCUUCGUCGGCGACAGAGCGGGGCACGGACACCACCCCAGAGUGUGCACUUUUAGGGGCGCUGUCUGCCCUGGGGCUCUGCAGAACAGUCGGCUUGGGACUUGGAUUCAGAACCAAAUGGGAGUUGAGUCCUGGCCACCUCCCUUCCUGGCUGUGUGACCGUGGGCAGAUUUCUCAACCUCCUUGUGUGUCAGUGUCCCUAUCUGUCAAAUAAAGACACUCACAGCCUCAUCAUGUUGUUGUGAGACAGGAGGGGACUUCGAAAGCUCAUGGGAAAAGACAAGCAAAAGAUACAUUUAUUUUUUGUGGUACAAGAAAUUUGAAAUUCAUGCAUUGCUCUUUUAAAAAAAAUAUUUAUUUGAAAGGCAAAGUUACAGACAGGCAGAGGCAGAGAGAGAGAGAGACAGAGAGAGAGAGAGAGAGAGAGAUGUUUUCUAUCUGAUGGUUCACUACCCAAAUGGCCACAAUGGCGGGAGCUGGGCUGAUCCAAAGCCAGGAGCCAGGAGCUUCUUCCAGGUCUUCCACACGGGUGCAGGGACCCAAGGAUUUGGGCCAUCUUCUACUGCUUUCCCAGACCAUAACAGAGAGCUGGAUCGGAAGUAGAGCAGCCGGGACUCGAACCUGCGCUCAUGUGGGAUGCUGGCACUGCAGGCACGUCUUUACCCGCUACUCCACAGCUCCGGCCCCUGCAUAAUUUUUUUAGUAUGCAUUUGUCAUGGCCUUUUGGAAGUCCCCUCAUAAUGAACAUUAAGCACAGCCCCUGGCAAAGAGAGAGAAUAAUAAAUGGGAGCCAUUAGUGUGAGGUCGUUCAGUGAAUUCACCUCCAGCCCAGAGCCAAUGGCUCUCUCCUGUUUGAUACAGGUCAUUAGUGUUAAGUGGACAGUGUCACCAGACAGAGGGCUGUCACCCAAAACCAGUGGGGGAUGGAAGAGACGCCACUCAAUGCUGGGUCCAAAUCGGCCCAUGCUGGACAGCUGGGAUGGAUGCUGGGUACAGAGACAUCUCAUACAGGCUGCUCACGCGUGCCGUGGGGGUGGCUGUACGCCUUCUCCAAGCAGGGCUGUAAGAACAUGCCUGGACUGUACUGGAUGCCCUUUGGCUUACCCAGCGGUGUCAGCUCCCAGAUGGCUGGGCCUUGCUGCAGAUCCGAGUGGUCAUCUGCUGCUCCCCCCUGGGAGAAGCCACAGCCCCGACUGUCUGCAACUGGCUUUGCUGAGCCGCAGAGGCCGCAGCCCGGGUAUAGAGGAUUCUUAAGGUGGCUGAGAGUUUCUGAGAAGACAAAGCAGAAUAAACACUCGUCCCCGUGGGCCACGGUGGAGUGACCUUUAUAAUUUUCAGCUAUUUCUCAGGAUUGCUUUCUGUAGAGCCUUUGUUUUAUUCCAUUAGAUUUUGAAGUUGCUAGGAGGAUGCCUACAGUCUAUUGAUUCGUAACUUGGUGCCCCAGGAUGGAGUGAGAGCAGCCCUGCCCCUGACUCUAGGUCUGCAAGCCGAGUGCACUGUAUAGGAGGAGCCCCGUUUCUACACAGAUGUCCCGACACAGGGCCUGGGCCGUUGGAAGGAUGGUUCCAAUGUCCUCGGCGUUGGCUCCAGCCGUUUCUUCAAUGAGUGUGUAUUUGCUGUGUGCACAGCUGGAUCCGGGAGGCUCUGCCCUCAAGGUUCUCAUUCAAGUCUAGAUUCUGGCUGGCUUCCACUCCCCAGGCGCUGUCUCCCUGCAGCUUGUCCUGGGGGUGCAGCCUAGGGAAGCAGGCCACAUGCACUGCGCGCACCUUGGUGGAAGAGGAUACGCGACAUCUGGCAACCUUCCUCUCUGCUCAGCCUGUCACCCAGCCUCCCGCCUGCGGGGUCCCGGAGAGCUUUGCCUUCCCACAGCUGAAUUCACUCCAUCGCAGAUUCUUCUUUGCCUAAAUCUGAUUGGGACAGUCAGGAUGUCGGAGCAAAUGUUGUGAUCUGAGUCAACAGCGAUAAACCGGAAACGACAGUCUCUCUAUUACAGCCUUCCCCUCUGGCCCAAGUGUAAGGUCACCACCAACCUGCACCUUCCAGGGCCUCAGAGAACACGUAAGAAACUGGCUUCUCGAGCUUGCCCCGAGGCACCGGAAAUGAGGUGGCGCAUGCGCACAUACAGCGACCACGUCCCCGGGAUAGGGAAGUAGCCUGCUGUACUCUGCGGCUGGCGCCGACUUAUUCUGGCCUGUAGGAUUCCUCACCAUCCAGAGUGGUGGGAAGACCAAGUCAGUUGCAUGAAUGAAUGCAUGGCUGAAUGACUGAAUGACAGGAGCAAUGCCCCUGUGUGCCAUGUCAGUGCUACACAAAGCAAAUUAAGUGCACAGCCUCACCUUUGUGUUCACCUCCUGACUGCCUGUUAGGUGUUGGCUGCCGCGGGGAGAGAAACAAAAAGGAAGCCAUGCUUCUACCUUGACCCAGCAAAGCGUGUGUCAGAUUACAGAAAAAUCAGAAUGUCUGGAGAUAAGGGUGCGGAGUUUUAUCGAGUCAUCAGAGUAAACCGAGUUUUGCAGAAUUGCCACAAAGCUGUGAAUGUCCUCACGGCCCUCGUUCAGAAUGCGUUCAGCGAACAAAGAAAUCUUGGUUUGAUUCCAUUUGUUUUAAAGAUUGUGCUCUACAGAUGCAUUUUUUAAGCAUAAUAUAAAAAUAUAAAAAUGGCUAAGUGAAUACGUUAAACCUUUUUUUUUCAGAUACAUAGAUUUUUCCCCCAACUGGUAAUUUUGCAGAGGUAGAAAGUUACGAGUAUGCACCAAAUUAUUGUCUAAUCCUUGGGACCUUCUGUUUAGAGUUCCAGACGUGCGUAGAGUGGGAACUGCUUGGUUUUCUGUGCUUAUUUGCAGUCUGUUGGUACACACACACACCUCCUCCAGGACACAAAGGGUCCUCUCCAUAGGUGGUUCUUAGAAAGUGUCCCGAGAAGCGAGGGAGAGGUCCCAGGUGCCCCAGGGCCCCGUGGCCCCGUUUUGGGGCAAAAGCACCCAGCUCUGCCCCCUCUGCCUUCUGGGGCACGACUCACACCUGUUGAGAGCGCUCUGGCUCCUCCGUGGAACUUUACAAAUGAGCUUUCGCGCUGGUUUCCCAGGGCUCCCAGAACAAAGCAGCAUGAACCGGGCAGCUGCCUCCCUCCCACUCGCGGGGGGCUGCGGGCCGAGAUGGGGCUGUCCGUAGGUUUGGCUGCUUCCGAGGGCUGGGAGGGAAGGAUGUGUUCCAGACUUUCCUCCUUGGCUCGUGGACAGUUGUCUGGAUGGUGACACAGUGUUCUCCUAUAUGUAUGUCUUGUCCAAAUUCCUCCUUUUUAUAAGGACACCGGCUCUAUUGGACAGGGGCCCAGCCUGCUCCAGGGGCCUCUCAUCUUAACUGACUACAGCUGCAGUGACCCUGUUUCCAAACGCAGUCACACUGUGAGGUCCUGGGGGCUGGGAUUGCAACACGCGGAUUUGGGGGGAAACAUAUCACAACCUGUAACAGCUGUGAGGGCGGGAGGAAGGCCCCUCCAUCCAGCCACCCCUCCUGCUCCCCGCCCCCUCCCAAGCUGCUCCCCAGCAUUCCCCUGUGGGCGACUGAAUCCCUUUAGGCACUUGUCCCUUUGCAUUUGGAGAUGGCGUGGUGACCAGGGAUCUCCCCUGUGGAGGGGAAGUCAUACGGGGAAGAGGCAGCCAUGAGCUGUCCUCAGCCUGCCCUGCAAACUCUGCUCAGCAUGUGGGUUUGUGUGUGUGUGUGUGUGUAUG